UGGGGAAUUUUGGACAAUGGACGCAAGUCUGAUCCAGCCAUGCCGCGUGCGGGAAGAAGGCCUUCGGGUUGUAAACCGCUUUUGUCGGGGAAGAAAUGCUCUGGGCUAAUAUCCUGGGGAGAUGACGGUACCCGAAGAAUAAGCACCGGCUAACUACGUGCCAGCAGCCGCGGUAAUACGUAGGGUGCGAGCGUUAAUCGGAAUUACUGGGCGUAAAGCGUGCGCAGGCGGUUUUGUAAGACAGAGGUGAAAUCCCCGGGCUCAACCUGGGAACUGCCUUUGUGACUGCAAAGCUGGAGUACGGCAGAGGGGGAUGGAAUUCCGCGUGUAGCAGUGAAAUGCGUAGAUAUGCGGAGGAACACCGAUGGCGAAGGCAGUCCCCUGGGCCUGUACUGACGCUCAUGCACGAAAGCGUGGGGAGCAAACA
Molecule: ribosomal RNA, 427 nt
Filed under: uncultured Burkholderiales bacterium
Lineage: Bacteria; Pseudomonadati; Pseudomonadota; Betaproteobacteria; Burkholderiales
Description: partial 16S ribosomal RNA
Rfam family: Bacterial small subunit ribosomal RNA
Source: RNAcentral